This 235-nucleotide long non-coding RNA is filed under the name Phaseolus vulgaris (common bean). RNAcentral describes it as "long non-coding RNA (PVUL_LNC000306)". The record is from RNAcentral. Lineage: Eukaryota; Viridiplantae; Streptophyta; Magnoliopsida; Fabales; Fabaceae.
CUUGGGUGAUGUGCCUCUUCUGCUAUUUAUACUGCUCUAGGUGGGCUAUGGCCGCUGUGGGCCUGCUUUAGGGUCCAAACGAAGGCCCAAUUGAGUCUUAACCGUGCUUAUCAUUUAAGUUGGGUUGUUUAUGCUUAAUUACGCGUUUAGCUUCGCCUGUUGUCGUCUAGUCGGUUUUGUCGUCUAUCCGGUCUAGUCGGCCUUACGGCCAUCUGGUAGUACAUAUGCCCCCCAG